This 23-nucleotide unclassified non-coding RNA is filed under the name Chlamydomonas reinhardtii. Its description in RNAcentral is "small RNA Cre_0010". Lineage: Eukaryota; Viridiplantae; Chlorophyta; Chlorophyceae; Chlamydomonadales; Chlamydomonadaceae. The record is from RNAcentral.
AAAAGGUUGCGCGGCCAUCGUGU